GUUUUUCAACGCACAUACACCCUAUUAACCUAAUCAGCAGCCCCCUUUUUAUUUUCAAAACAAAAGUAAAAAAAAAAAGGAAAAAAAACCUAGGCCCUUUCAUGCGCCGUUCUGCUCAUCGAUCCCUCAAAACGGAUCUCUGAAUCCCUGCUCAGGCUCCGAUGGCGACAGAGAGAACAGGGAUUCGACGACGAGGUAUUCCCC
This 204-nucleotide long non-coding RNA is filed under the name Gossypium raimondii (Peruvian cotton). Its description in RNAcentral is "long non-coding RNA (GRAI_LNC007568)". Lineage: Eukaryota; Viridiplantae; Streptophyta; Magnoliopsida; Malvales; Malvaceae. The record is from RNAcentral.